GCCAUCAUAGCACAGGGGUAAUGCGUUUCACUUGUACUUGCAAUGUUAUGAAAAGAUCCGCGGUUCGAUUCCGCGUGGUGGCA
This is a non-coding RNA of Nemania abortiva, 83 nucleotides long. The record is from the annotation of a GenBank genome assembly. Lineage: Eukaryota; Fungi; Ascomycota; Sordariomycetes; Xylariales; Xylariaceae.